UAUUAGGCGAUGAUGGGAAAUAGUAAAUGCUGAAGUAUUAUCCAGAGAGGAAGUGUAAGGUGAAAACUUCUUAAUAUAAGUAUUGAAGCUGUCUUGGAGCCAUAACAAUUUGAGAGAUAUAUGUACAUAAUUUACAUGUAGUAUGUAUUAAUAUAUAACUAGGGUGGUACCGCGAAGCUUUCGUCCCUUGA
Molecule: non-coding RNA, 191 nt
Filed under: Clostridium botulinum
Lineage: Bacteria; Bacillati; Bacillota; Clostridia; Eubacteriales; Clostridiaceae
Description: T-box sequence
Rfam family: T-box leader
About the family: Uncharged tRNA acts as the effector for transcription antitermination of genes in the T-box leader family. T-boxes are found upstream of many aminoacyl-tRNA synthetase genes and some amino acid biosynthetic genes usually in Gram-positive bacteria.
Source: RNAcentral